This 2570-nucleotide long non-coding RNA is filed under the name Capsicum annuum. RNAcentral's name for it is "long non-coding RNA (CANN_LNC016832)". Lineage: Eukaryota; Viridiplantae; Streptophyta; Magnoliopsida; Solanales; Solanaceae. The record is from RNAcentral.
UGUCUUAUAUGUCUAAAUCAUCUCAUAUCCUUGUAUCUAUACACCCAUGGUAGGGAAGGAAAGAAUAUGGAAGAAGUGUGAGACAACAUAAGGUAAUUGAAUUUUAUCCUUGCUUAGGGAUAAGGUUUCUAAUCAGGUUAGCACUAAUCACCAUUCUUAAGUAAUGGCUAUUUCAAAUAAUUAAUGAUUGUGCCAGAUUAUUUUCCCUCCCUUUCAAAAGUAGUCUCUAGAACUUUAUACUCAAUAUUUGUGUCCAUCUAACCAAAUACGUCCCCUCAGACACAUCAUAUCCCUUAAAUCUCAGUUGUUUCUAUGUAUCAUACAUAAUAUCCUAAAUUAGAUCUUCUUUUCUCACUUUGAAAAAUUCUCACGUCAAAGCUUAUUCACUCCUUGAUCAUUCAAAGUUCUUACUCCUACUAUUAUUUUUGUUAUCCUAUCUCCAAAAGAGACUUUCAUUUUAGCUAUGAGCAAAAAAGGUAGUUCAAGCCUGUCCUCUAGGAGGCUAAAUGACCCACUUGAAAGUAAUGAUGAUAAAGAUGUGAGACCUUCACAUGUUCUUGAAGAAUCAAUAGACAUUCUAAGAGCAUGUAUAAUUAUAGCAAGGAUAGUGAGAUUAAGCGCCUGCUUGAAAGAUUGAGUAACUAUAAGGGGUAAAUUAAUUAAAUCUGAUUAUGAGGAGUACAUUACUGAUGUAAGGGAAAACAAGAGAAGAAGAGAGGAGGUAUUUCCAAAGAAAGAGAAGAGAAAAGGAUUGGAACAAGUUGAUAUCGAAGGACUAGACUCCAACUGUAUCAUCUCAAGAGUAGCAAGGAAAAAGACUUUUAAUAAUAGAAACUCCUCUAGGGAAGAGUUUUUGACUCUGCUAAAGGAUAUAUGAUUGGAGUUACAUGACUUGGUAAAGUUUUAAAAUUGGGAACAAUUAUUUGUAUUAAUUGUACCUCAAGUGUAUAAGAAUUAAGUGAGGAUGUUUUAUCAAAACUUGGAAAUUUCAGAUGAUAGUCUAUACCUGAUCUCUUAGGUCAAUGGUAUGGCUUUGGGAUUCGAUGAAGAGAUACUCUCUAAAAGUCAUAGUGUUCCAAAUUUAGGUGCCAGGUCUGUAACAUCUAAGAAGGGGUCUCCUUAGUUCUUGAAACUAUGUGGUAUAUUUUAUGACUUACUCACUGAAGACUCUGACAAAAAGGCUCUCAAGGAAGAAUUUCAGGUGUUGUUUGAGCUUGUGACAAAUGCACUACUUCCUAGAUUUGACAAGGAGACUACUCUGAUAAGUGCUAAACUAUUUUUAAUGAAAAUAUUGUUUAAGUACGAGACAAUUAACCUACCAUCCAUUAUUAUUGAGCAUAUGAAAUUUUUCCUUAAUGACAAAGCUAGAAGGGAUGGACUACACUAUAGAAUUUGCUUGAAUAGAGUCUUGAAUUUGUAAAGGGAAGAUAAUGUGGAAACAAACUUAGAAAAAGAUGUGCGUACUGCAAUUGAUGCCCUGCAGAAAAGGGUGGAGGAUCCUGAAACUAAGCAUGUUUGUGUUAAAUGCUCUUUCAUAGAAUCUAAUCUUACCUAGUUUCAUAUCCUUGACUUCUCAUUAAGUCCUAUUAACUUUUUUUCUCCUUUUGUUUUUGUUCCUCAUUGCACAAUUGUUUUUAUAUUUUGUGGUUAUUAUUUUUGUAAUUGGUUUUUGGUACUACCUUAUGCAUGAAAGAUUGAAAUUUAUUUUGUGCUCAUUACCUCUCAUAUUUAUAUCUAAUGUUCUCUUGAUCAUGUAAGUGAUGCCUCAAUGGCCAUGAAUUAACAUGUAUGGGUUAUCUAUGUCUGUUUUACUGCCUAACCUUUUUGAUGAUGUCAAAAGGGGGAAAUUGUGUGUAGUGUAGCCUAAUUGGUAUGGUGUGGUAUGUUGAUAAAGAUAGGGAUUCUCUCAUUCAUGUGGAACUUAAUUCUCACUAACAGGGGGCAAUAGGUUAGAGGUUGUUUGUAGUCUUAUAGGCACCAGUUAUAGGGGGAAUUGGUUGGGCAACCUGGUCUGACAUGUUGUCUUAUGGAUUAUUUUGUGUUUCUUAGGUGUAGGUUGUGCUGUGUAGAAGUUGAUGAAGAUGCUGAGUAUUCAGAUUUCAUUGUAUGGGUUUGUCAUCAUUACAAAGAGGGAAAUUGUUAAUCCCUUAGUUUUGAUGAUUGACAAAUUCAUAGUUUGGGAUCUGCUCCCUGGGUUUUUGUGCUGACAAAAUCUUCUACACUUUAGGGAACAGAUUGGGCUCAUCUGUUGCUGUCACAGUCAAGUGUGCAGUUGACACAUAGUACAAAAGUUGGUGUAAAGCUUCUACCACCUUUUUUCCUCAACUAAUGAGAUUUCUCCAAGGUUUUCUUGUAUCAUAAUAUAUAUUGCUCAUCUUCCUCAACAAAAAAAUCAACACUUCCAUAUACUCAUAAUUAAAAAUAUUUUUUUUAGUGCUGCAGUGCUACAUUAAAGGCUGGAACUAUAACAAGGAACCUAUUGUUUAUCAAGUUGUAUCUUUAUUUCCUUUUUAUAGUUUGGUCUUGUAUUUUGUACUUAAAUGCUUGACUACUCUUUCUUAUGAUUGUAG